CCUACGGGCGGCAGCAGUGGGGAAUAUUGGACAAUGGGGGCAACCCUGAUCCAGCCAUGCCGCGUGUGUGAAGAAGGCCCUCGGGUUGUAAAGCACUUUCAGUGAGGAAGAACGCCUGGUGGUUAAUACCCAUCAGGAAAGACAUCACUCACAGAAGAAGCACCGGCUAACUCCGUGCCAGCAGCCGCGGUAAUACGGAGGGUGCGAGCGUUAAUCGGAAUUACUGGGCGUAAAGCGCGCGUAGGUGGCUUGAUAAGCCGGUUGUGAAAGCCCCGGGCUCAACCUGGGAACGGCAUCCGGAACUGUCAAGCUAGAGUGCAGGAGAGGAAGGUAGAAUUCCCGGUGUAGCGGUGAAAUGCGUAGAGAUCGGGAGGAAUACCAGUGGCGAAGGCGGCCUUCUGGACUGACACUGACACUGAGGUGCGAAAGCGUGGGUAGCAAACAGGAUUAGAUACCCCAGUAGUA
This 465-nucleotide ribosomal RNA is filed under the name Vreelandella stevensii. RNAcentral's name for it is "partial 16S ribosomal RNA". It matches the Rfam family "Bacterial small subunit ribosomal RNA", at positions 338 to 795 of the family's 1533-position model. Lineage: Bacteria; Pseudomonadati; Pseudomonadota; Gammaproteobacteria; Oceanospirillales; Halomonadaceae. The record is from RNAcentral.